GAUGAAGAAGCAGCGAAAUGCGAUAAGUAAUGUGAAUUGCAGAAUUCAGUGAAUCAUCGAAUCUUUGAACGCACAUUGCGCCCGCCAGCACUCUGGCGGGCAUGCCUGUUCGAGCGUCAUUUCAACCAUCAAGCCCCCAGGGGCUUGUGCUGGGGCCCUGCGGCUGCCCGCAGGCCCUGAAAACCAGUGGCGGGCUCGCUAGUCACACCGAGCGCAGUAGCACAUCUCGCUCAGGGCGUGCGGCGGGCUCCUGCCGUGAAACCCCCCACUGUAACCCCAAAGGUUGACCUCGGAUCAGGUAGGAAUACCCGCUGAACUUAAGCAUAUCAAUAAGCGGAGGA
This 341-nucleotide unclassified non-coding RNA is filed under the name soil metagenome. RNAcentral describes it as "partial contains 5.8S ribosomal RNA, internal transcribed spacer 2, and large subunit ribosomal RNA". The stretch from base 1 to 119 matches the Rfam family "5.8S ribosomal RNA", at positions 35 to 154 of the family's 154-position model. The record is from RNAcentral.